RNA transcript from Orcinus orca (killer whale), 1270 nucleotides. It is a transcript of the gene named ATP synthase F1 subunit gamma, with no coding region annotated. Lineage: Eukaryota; Metazoa; Chordata; Mammalia; Artiodactyla; Delphinidae. The transcript is spliced from 10 exons. The record is from RefSeq and is a predicted model, not a curated record.
GGCGUGUGGGGCGCUUCCGCGCAGGCGCGGUGAGGCCUGUCUGACCGACCUUCAGCAGGGCCGGAAUCACCAUGUUUUCUCCGGUGGGCCUAGCAGGGCUGUCGGCCUGGGCCGUGCAGCCGCAAUGGAUCCAAGUUCGAAAUAUGGCAACCUUGAAAGAUAUUACCAGGCGACUAAAAUCAAUCAAAAACAUCCAGAAAAUUACCAAGUCUAUGAAAAUGGUAGCAGCAGCGAAAUAUGCCCGAGCUGAGAGGGAGCUGAAACCAGCCCGAGUGUAUGGAAUAGGAUCCUUGGCUCUGUAUGAAAAGGCUGAUAUUAAGGUGCCUGAAGACAAGAAGAAACAUCUCCUUAUCGGUGUGUCCUCAGACCGAGGGCUUUGUGGUGCUAUUCAUUCCUCGAUUGCUAAACACUUAAAGAAUGAGGUGGCCAAUCUCACAGCAGCUGGGAAAGAAGUUAAGAUUGUUGGAGUUGGUGAUAAACUCAGGAGUAUACUUCACAGGACUCAUUCUAACCAGUUUCUGGUGACAUUCAAAGAAGUGGGGAGAAGGCCCCCUACCUUUGGGGAUGCGUCGGUCAUUGCCCUUGAACUGUUAAAUUCUGGAUAUGAAUUUGAUGAAGGGUCUAUCAUCUUUAACCGAUUCAGGUCUGUCAUCUCCUACAAGACAGAAGAAAAGCCCAUCUUCUCCCUUGGUACCAUUGCAAGUGCUGAGAGCAUGAGUAUCUAUGAUGAUAUUGAUGCUGACGUGCUGCAGAAUUACCAAGAAUACAGCCUGGCCAACAUCAUCUACUACUCUCUGAAGGAAUCCACCACGAGUGAGCAGAGUGCCAGGAUGACGGCCAUGGACAAUGCCAGCAAGAAUGCUUGUAAGCGCUGAGAGAAUUCCCUUGCGGAAAGCAGCAUGAAGACCCUCACGUCAAAAGGCAUUAGCGAUUCUGGAAGUGGACCAGGAAGCAGGAGAGCUGGGGUCUAGUCCUGGGCUCUGCCACCGAUUCUCUGAGAUGAUUGACAAAUUGACUUUGACGUUCAAUCGCACCCGCCAAGCUGUCAUCACCAAGGAGCUGAUUGAAAUCAUCUCCGGUGCUGCGGCUCUGGACUAAUGAAAUUCGAGUUUCAUCCUCAGACAAGAGGUAAAGAAGAUUCAGCCAGCUGAUUUUGUUUUUAGCUUACUGCUGUCCUUGUCAGAAGAAAUUGUUGGUCCACUGUUUAAAUUAGUAAAGACAGCGAGAUAUUUGUAAAUUAUCUUACAAUAAAUGACUCAUCAUAAGAAAA